Molecule: long non-coding RNA, 152 nt
Organism: Maniola jurtina (meadow brown)
Lineage: Eukaryota; Metazoa; Arthropoda; Insecta; Lepidoptera; Nymphalidae
Exons: 3
Source: RefSeq, a predicted model, not a curated record
UACUGUACUAGCCUUUGCCUGCAACUUUUUCCGCGCGGACUACACAACUUUCAACCCCUAUUUCACUCCCCUAGGGGUUGAAUUUUCGAAAAUCCUUUCUUAGACGAUGUCUUUGUUAAAAUAGCUAUAGGUAUGCGAAAUUUCACGCCAAU